Rhincodon typus (whale shark) is the source of this 445-nucleotide long non-coding RNA. RefSeq lists it as uncharacterized. The record is from RefSeq and is a predicted model, not a curated record. NCBI's taxonomy places the organism in Eukaryota, Metazoa, Chordata, Chondrichthyes, Orectolobiformes, Rhincodontidae. The transcript is spliced from 2 exons.
CCCUUUUCCAGCGAGGCCCCGCCUCACGCCGUACAUCAGAUGCAGAGCUGAUGCUGGGGAUCCUACGCUAUCUAAUAGAUGUUGAUAGCUAUUAGAUGCACUGCAACAACUCACCAAAGGCUCCUGUGACAGCACCUCACAAAUCCCUGAUUUCUACCACCUAGAAGGACAAGGAUAUCAGAAGUACAGGAUGACCAUCACCAGGAAAUCCUCCAAGCCACACACCAUCCUUGACUUGGAACUAUACCACCAUUGUCACUGGGUCAAAAUCCUGGAACUCCCACUUUAAUAGUCAUGUGGAUCUACACCAUGUGGACUACAGUAGUUGAAGUAGGCAAUUCAAAGGCAUUUACAAAUCUGCAAUAAAUUCUGGCUUUGGAAGUGACACGCACAUCCUGUGAAGGAAUGAAUAAAAAUAAAUAAUUAUGUGGCCUUACGCUCUGAA